UUAUCACCUGGGCUACCACGUGCUACAAUGGGAAGUACAACGAGUCGCGAAGUCGCGAGGCUAAGCUAAUCUCUUACAGCUUCUCUCAGUUAGGAUUGUAGGCUGCAACUCGCCUACAUGAAGCCGGAAUCGCUAGUAAUCGCGGAUCAGCACGCCGCGGUGAAUACGUUCCCGGGCCUUGUACACACCGCCCGUCACACCACGAGAGUUUGUAACACCCGAAGUCGGUGAGGUAACCUUUUUGGAGCCAGCCGCCUAAGGUGGGAUAGAUGAUUGGGGUGAAGUCGUAACAAGGUAGCCGUAUCGGAAGGUGCGGUUGGAUCACCUCCU
This 330-nucleotide ribosomal RNA is filed under the name Enterococcus mundtii. RNAcentral's name for it is "bacterial SSU rRNA". It matches the Rfam family "Bacterial small subunit ribosomal RNA", at positions 1202 to 1531 of the family's 1533-position model. Lineage: Bacteria; Bacillati; Bacillota; Bacilli; Lactobacillales; Enterococcaceae. The record is from RNAcentral.